GACGAACGCUGGCGGCGUGCUUAACACAUGCCAGUCGAACGGAAAGGCCCUGCUUUUGUGGGGUGCUCGAGUGGCGAACGGGUGAGUAACACGUGAGUAACCUGCCCUUGACUUUGGGAUAACUUCAGGAAACUGGGGCUAAUACCGGAUAGGAGCUCCUGCUGCAUGGUGGGGGUUGGAAAGUUUCGGCGGUUGGGGAUGGACUCGCGGCUUAUCAGCUUGUUGGUGGGGUAGUGGCUUACCAAGGCUUUGACGGGUAGCCGGCCUGAGAGGGUGACCGGCCAAAUUGGGACUGGGGUACGGCCCAGACUUCUACGGGAGGCAGCAGUGGGGAAUAUUGCACAAUGGGCGGAAGCCUGAUGCAGCAACGCCGCGGGCGGGAUGACGGCCUUUGGGUUGUAAACCGCUUUCGCCUGUGACGAAGCGUGAGUGACGGUAAUGGGUAAAGAAGCACCGGCUAACUACGUG
This 468-nucleotide ribosomal RNA is filed under the name uncultured bacterium. RNAcentral describes it as "partial 16S ribosomal RNA". It matches the Rfam family "Bacterial small subunit ribosomal RNA", at positions 28 to 507 of the family's 1533-position model. The record is from RNAcentral.